Molecule: ribosomal RNA, 254 nt
Filed under: uncultured bacterium
Lineage: Bacteria
Description: partial 16S ribosomal RNA
Rfam family: Bacterial small subunit ribosomal RNA
Source: RNAcentral
CACGUAGGGUGCGAGCGUUGUCCGGAAUUAUUGGGCGUAAAGAGCUCGUAGGCGGUGUGUCGCGUCGACCGUGAAAACCUGCAGCUUAACUGUGGGCGUGCGGUCGAUACGGGCAUCACUGGAGUUCGGCAGGGGAGACUGGAAUUCCUGGUGUAGCGGUGAAAUGCGCAGAUAUCAGGAGGAACACCGGUGGCGAAGGCGGGUCUCUGGGCCGAUACUGACGCUGAGGAGCGAAAGCGUGGGGAGCGAACAGG